GCCUCCGUAGCUCAGUGGAUUAGAGCAGUCGGCUUCUACCGAUUGGUCGCGGGUUCGAAUCCUGCCGGGGGCG
RNAcentral lists this transfer RNA (73 nucleotides) under Corynebacterium pseudotuberculosis 31. RNAcentral's name for it is "tRNA-Und (NNN) (tRNA-Und-NNN-1-1)". It matches the Rfam family "tRNA". Rfam says of the family: Transfer RNA (tRNA) molecules are approximately 80 nucleotides in length. Their secondary structure includes four short double-helical elements and three loops (D, anti-codon, and T loops). The record is from RNAcentral. Lineage: Bacteria; Bacillati; Actinomycetota; Actinomycetes; Mycobacteriales; Corynebacteriaceae.